UACGGAAGGCAGCAGUGGGGAAUAUUGCACAAUGGGCGCAAGCCUGAUGCAGCCAUGCCGCGUGUAUGAAGAAGGCCUUCGGGUUGUAAAGUACUUUCAGUCGUGAGGAAGGUGUUAAGGUUAAUAACCUUAGCAAUUGACGUUAGCGACAGAAGAAGCACCGGCUAACUCCGUGCCAGCAGCCGCGGUAAUACGGAGGGUGCGAGCGUUAAUCGGAAUUACUGGGCGUAAAGGGCACGCAGGCGGUUAAUUAAGUUGGAUGUGAAAUCCCCGGGCUUAACCUGGGAAUGGCAUUCAAGACUGGUUAGCUAGAGUCUUGUAGAGGGGGUAGAAUUCCAUGUGUAGCGGUGAAAUGCGUAGAGAUGUGGAGGAAUACCGGUGGCGAAGGCGGCCCCUGGACAAAGACUGACGCUCAUGUGCGAAAGCGUGGGGAGCGAAACAGGGAUUAGAUCC
Molecule: ribosomal RNA, 453 nt
Filed under: uncultured bacterium
Lineage: Bacteria
Description: bacterial SSU rRNA
Rfam family: Bacterial small subunit ribosomal RNA
Source: RNAcentral